Molecule: ribosomal RNA, 460 nt
Filed under: uncultured bacterium
Lineage: Bacteria
Description: partial 16S ribosomal RNA
Rfam family: Bacterial small subunit ribosomal RNA
Source: RNAcentral
CCUACGGGAGGCAGCAGUGAGGAAUAUUGGUCAAUGGACGAGAGUCUGAACCAGCCAAGUAGCGUGAAGGAUGACUGCCCUAUGGGUUGUAAACUUCUUUUAUAUGGGAAUAAAACGUUCCACGUGUGGGAUUUUGUAUGUACCAUAUGAAUAAGGAUCGGCUAACUCCGUGCCAGCAGCCGCGGUAAUACGGAGGAUCCGAGCGUUAUCCGGAUUUAUUGGGUUUAAAGGGAGCGUAGGUGGAUUGUUAAGUCAGUUGUGAAAGUUUGCGGCUCAACCGUAAAAUUGCAGUUGAAACUGGCAGUCUUGAGUACAGUAGAGGUGGGCGGAAUUCGUGGUGUAGCGGUGAAAUGCUUAGAUAUCACGAAAAACUCCGAUUGCGAAGGCAGUUCACUGGACUGCAACUGACACUGAGGCUCGAAAGUGUGGGUAUCAAACAGGAUUAGAUACCCCGGUAGUC